GUGCUCGCUUUGGCAGCACAUAUACUAAAAUUGGAACCGUACGGAGAAGAUUAGCAUGGCCUCUGGCACAAGGAUGACACGCAAAUUCGUGAAGCGUUCCAUAAAAAA
Molecule: small nuclear RNA, 108 nt
Filed under: Propithecus coquereli (Coquerel's sifaka)
Lineage: Eukaryota; Metazoa; Chordata; Mammalia; Primates; Indriidae
Source: RNAcentral